AGAGGUUGAUUCUGGCUCAGGAUGAACGCUGGCGGCGUGCCUAACACAUGCAAGUCGAGCGAAGCGCUUUACUUGAAUUCUUCGGAAGGAAAGUAUUGUGACUGAGCGGCGGACGGGUGAGUAACGCGUGGGUAACCUGCCUCAUACAGGGGGAUAACAGUUAGAAAUGACUGCUAAUACCGCAUAAGACCACAGCACCGCAUGGUGCGGGGGUAAAAACUCCGGUGGUAUGAGAUGGACCCGCGUCUGAUUAGCUAGUUGGUAAGGUAAGGGCUUACCAAGGCGACGAUCAGUAGCCGACCUGAGAGGGUGACCGGCCACAUUGGGACUGAGACACGGCCCAAACUCCUACGGGAGGCAGCAGUGGGGAAUAUUGCACAAUGGGGGAAACCCUGAUGCAGCGACGCCGCGUGAGUGAUGAAGUAUUUCGGUAUGUAAAGCUCUAUCAGCAGGGAAGAAAAUGACGGUACCUGACUAAGAAGCACCGGCUAAAUACGUGCCAGCAGCCGCGGUAAUACGUAUGGUGCAAGCGUUAUCCGGAUUUACUGGGUGUAAAGGGAGCGUAGACGGAGAGGCAAGUCUGAUGUGAAAACCCGGGGCUCAACCCCGGGACUGCAUUGGAAACUGUUUUUCUAGAGUGUCGGAGAGGCAAGUGGAAUUCCUAGUGUAGCGGUGAAAUGCGUAGAUAUUAGGAGGAACACCAGUGGCGAAGGCGGCUUGCUGGACGACGACUGACGUUGAGGCUCGAAAGCGUGGGGAGCAAACAGGAUUAGAUACCCUGGUAGUCCACGCCGUAAACG
This 800-nucleotide ribosomal RNA is filed under the name uncultured bacterium. Its description in RNAcentral is "bacterial SSU rRNA". It matches the Rfam family "Bacterial small subunit ribosomal RNA", at positions 8 to 808 of the family's 1533-position model. The record is from RNAcentral.